RNAcentral lists this ribosomal RNA (505 nucleotides) under uncultured bacterium. RNAcentral's name for it is "partial 16S ribosomal RNA". It matches the Rfam family "Bacterial small subunit ribosomal RNA", at positions 28 to 507 of the family's 1533-position model. The record is from RNAcentral.
GACGAACGCUGGCGGCGUGCCUAAUACAUGCAAGUAGAACGCACAGUUUAUACCGUAGCUUGCUACACCAUAGACUGUGAGUUGCGAACGGGUGAGUAACGCGUAGGUAACCUGCCUGGUAGCGGGGGAUAACUAUUGGAAACGAUAGCUAAUACCGCAUAAUAUUAAUUAUUGCAUGAUAAUUAAUUGAAAGGUGCAAUUGCACCACUACCAGAUGGACCUGCGUUGUAUUAGCUAGUAGGUGAGGUAACGGCUCACCUAGGCGACGAUACAUAGCCGACCUGAGAGGGGGAUCGGCCACACUGGGACUGAGACACGGCCCAGACUCCUACGGGAGGCAGCAGUAGGGAAUCUUCGGCAAUGGACGAAAGUCUGACCGAGCAACGCCGCGUGAGUGAAGAAGGGUGUCGGAUCGUAAAGCUCUGUUGUAAGAGAAGAACGGGUGUGAGAGUGGAAAGUUCACACUGUGACGGUAUCUUACCAGAAAGGGACGGCUAACUACGUG